This 925-nucleotide ribosomal RNA is filed under the name Plasmodium inui. Its description in RNAcentral is "SSU rRNA". It matches the Rfam family "Eukaryotic small subunit ribosomal RNA", at positions 174 to 1051 of the family's 1831-position model. The record is from RNAcentral. Lineage: Eukaryota; Apicomplexa; Aconoidasida; Haemosporida; Plasmodiidae.
UUCUUGAGUGUGUACUUGUUAAGCCUUUUAAGAAAAAAGUUAUUAACUUAAGGAAUUAUAACAAAGAAGCAACACGUAAAUGGAUUUUCCAUUUUUUAGUGUGUAUCAAUCGAGUUUCUGACCUAUCAGCUUUUGAUGUUAGGGUAUUGGCCUAACAUGGCUAUGACGGGUAACGGGGAAUUAGAGUUCGAUUCCGGAGAGGGAGCCUGAGAAAUAGCUACCACAUCUAAGGAAGGCAGCAGGCGCGUAAAUUACCCAAUUCUAAAGAAGAGAGGUAGUGACAAGAAAUAACAAUACAAGGCCAAUCUGGCUUUGUAAUUGGAAUGAUGGGAAUUUAAAACCUUCCCAAAACUCAAUUGGAGGGCAAGUCUGGUGCCAGCAGCCGCGGUAAUUCCAGCUCCAAUAGCGUAUAUUAAAAUUGUUGCAGUUAAAACGCUCGUAGUUGAAUUUCAAAGAAUCGAUAUUUUAAGUAACGCUUUGUAGAUUAAUCCACAUAACUAAUACUACGUAUCGACUUUGUGCGCAUUUUUCUACUUAUGUGUUCUUUUAAUUAAAAUGAUUCUUUUUAAGAUCUUUCUUUUUUGCUUCGGCAUUUUAGGAGAUCUUGUUACUUUGAGUAAAUUAGAGUGUUCAAAGCAAACAGAUUAUAGCAUCUUUAUGCGUUUGAAUACUACAGCAUGGAAUAACAAAAUUGAACAAGUCAGAAUUUUGUUCUUUUUUCUUAUUUUGGCUUAGUUACGAUUAAUAGGAGUAGCUUGGGGGCAUUUGUAUUCAGAUGUCAGAGGUGAAAUUCUUAGAUUUUCUGGAGACAAACAACUGCGAAAGCAUUUGCCUAAAAUACUUCCAUUAAUCAAGAACGAAAGUUAAGGGAGUGAAGACGAUCAGAUACCGUCGUAAUCUUAACCAUAAACUAUGCCGACUAGGC